GCCCCGCUAGCUCAGGGGAUAGAGCAACCGCUUCCUAAGCGGCAGGUCGCAGGUUCAAAUCCUGCGCGGGGCA
This 73-nucleotide transfer RNA is filed under the name Plantactinospora alkalitolerans. RNAcentral describes it as "Plantactinospora sp. S1510 tRNA-Arg". It matches the Rfam family "tRNA". Rfam says of the family: Transfer RNA (tRNA) molecules are approximately 80 nucleotides in length. Their secondary structure includes four short double-helical elements and three loops (D, anti-codon, and T loops). Lineage: Bacteria; Bacillati; Actinomycetota; Actinomycetes; Micromonosporales; Micromonosporaceae. The record is from RNAcentral.